UUAUCUAAAGAAAAGUUUAUGUCAUAAUAUAUCCAUUCUUUAGACAAGCACAACAAGAAAAGUACAUAAAAAUCACACUUCAUGGCAAUUUAUCAAUGCAAUCCCAUGCCAAUUUUAGCACAACUAAUCACAGGAUUAUAUUAAACAUAAAGUGCAAUAAUGAAGAACAAACUUAAGAAAAUUUAACAUUACAAACAACAAGCAUUCAAAGCUGAAGUAGAAGAAGAGUAUCGUUGAUCAAUAUGGAUUCCUUCUCCAGACAGAUGGUUUAUCGCUAGAGUGACAAGGGAAAUUGACUAAUUCGGAACAGCCACUAACCUUUGCAUAGCUUAAAAACUUCAUCUGCUCUGUCACCAACUUUCCCCAGUCUGUUUUUAAUUUUGGCAAAUCCUUCAAACAUAAACCCUCGACUUUCCAAGAACUGCCAUUACCCGUGCAGAUAUCAUUCAGCAGGUAUCCCUCUUCCAUACAAAGAUACACCAAAUGAGGCAGACUAUCAGGACUAACCCAUCUUGGCAACCUUUCAUGACAAUAACACCUGAGAUACAGCUGCUCAAGAGUAGAGGGAGGGGAAAGCAAAUCUAGCAUUUCUGGCGAAUUUCUCCCUUCAGACUCUUUAGGGUCAAAAUUAAUGGCUAGAAUCUUGAGUUUAUUAAGUUUUGACAACACUUCAUUUUCCUCUACUGUUAUUUCAAUGUCAUUGCUCAAACUCAUUCGCAGUACUCUUAAUUCGACCAGCUGCCCAAGCUCAAGAAGCGAGCAGCUUCUUCUGUUAGGUUGACGUACCAAUCUCACUCCAGACAGCUCUUGAAGAUGGCAGAGCCUUCCUAGUCCACGAGGCAGAUAUGUGAGCAUUCCACAGGAGUCUACGUCCAAUACUAUCAACUUCAUUAGAUAAGUUAUUGAAGGACUUAGCUUGGACAGGUUGGUGCAUCCUCUUAAAACUAAGAGGUGGAGGUUUCGGAGUUUGCCAAUAGAAUCUGGUACUUCUUCAAGGCGCUCAGCUCCGCUUAGAUUCAGAUAUGCCAGGCGUUUUAGCGAGCUAAUCCAUCUGAAAAGUUUAUUUAAAGCAACCUUGUCUAGCUUAUUGUCAGAAAAGUCCAACGCCCUAAGCGACAGGAGUGAAUACAAGUUCCUUUCGAAAGGAGUUUGACCACUAGUCAUUAGCAACAACGCCCUAAGCUUUGGACAUUUUUCCAAUGAUUUGGCAUCCAUUUCGCUUGUGAAACCCAACCACCGGGAAUGUUUAUCGAAUUUUUGUUUGCCUUCGUCGUCAAAGGAGCAAAGUUUCUCUUCUUUUGCCAUCACAAGGGUAAAAUCUCUCACCAGAUCAUGCAUUUUGCAUUUGUUGACUCUUCCAUCAAAGCCUCGCCUCUCCACAGCUUCAACUAGACAUCUGCUGACCAGUUGCGAUAAAUGCUCAAAGGCCAACUCCGUUGGAUUUUUUGAUUUGAUGCCUUGGAUAAGACCAUCUCCAACCCACCAAUGGACUAGCUUCUGAGCUGGUAUCUCAAAGUCUUCAGGAAAAAUGGAGAAACAUAGUAGACAUUGCCUUAAAUGUGGUGGGAGUGCCUUAUAACUCAGUUGCAAAGAAGUCAUAACGACACAGUUUUCUUCCGUGAUGCUCGGGACUGAAAAUUUUUUGCAAAUUUUCUUCCACUCAUCAAGAGAAUCUGUCGAUCCAAGUGAGGCUCCUAUAGUCUUGAUUGCCAGAGGAUGUCCCUCACAUUUAUCCACGAUUUCCUUACCCAAUUUUUCAAAAUUUUCAAUAGGAACACUGUCCUCUUUUUUCCUGGAAAAUGCAUGCUUGGAGAACAAUAACCAGCUUUCACUUUUAUUAAGAACAUUGGGUUGAUGAAUUUUGUCAACUUCAAUAGCAGAUGCGACAUCUUUGUCUCUGGUCGUGAUAAUAAUGCAACUCCCCUUACAAGCAUAAUCCGGCAAUACAGAGAAAAAAUUCAUCCACCAUUUGAGACCUGUCUCCCACAUAUCAUCCAAAAUAAUCAGACAGGUCUUGGCUCUUAACAGUGAAAUAAUAAUUUGUAGCAUCUGACGAGGUUUUUCUAAUGAUUGCUUUGCAAUUUGUUCUCCUGAUUGUUGCAGGAUGCUCCUCAAGAUCUCCUCCACUAUAAAUCUCUGAGAAAUUGACACCCAAAUCCUCUUCUGGAAAUGCUGACAAACAUCAUUAUCAUUAAAAAUUUCCUUGGCAAUAGUGGUUUUCCCCAAGCCUCCCAUCCCCACAAUGCCAAUCUUUUGAAGCUUGUAAUCGGGGCAAAAAAUCCAAUCUUUUAUCUUCUUAACAUCCAUUUGAAGUCCAACUAUAUCAUCUGACUGGGAUGAUGAGGUUUCAAUAUGCUGGUCCGUGUGAACUUCUUCAUGGGUGCUUCCACCAUGUACUUUCAAAUGCUUGACCAGAGUUUCAUCUAUCUCCUUCAUUCUUAUAAUAAUAUCCCGUAUUUUCUUUCCAGUUUGAAGGCGGAAAAAGAAUUUCUGAGGAAAUGAUUUGGAGAAGGGUUGUCCAUUUUUCUGAUAUUCUUGUCUGAGUCGGUAGUCCGUCAAUAUAUCAUCUGCUUCAUACAUCAGAACUCUGAAUCUAGUCAAGGUUUCCCGGACAAUUUCCAGACUGCGGCCUUCAGUAUCCCCAAGUAAGGCCUCUAUACCAUGAAGAAUCGCCAUCAUCACCUGAAACUCUUCUUCAAACUCACAUCCAUUUUGAGCAUUAAGAGCUGUGGAAAGUUGGUCUAUCAGUGCUGGAAUCAUAGCAUCUACAAGUGCCAUAAUCUUCUGUAUAAACCUGAGAUGGAUGGAUUGGAAAAUCGAGCAAUAUUCAAUCCAGCUGAUGAACAGAAAUUUCACACUAUUCUCAGACUCUCAAAAACCUGACAGAUCAAUUUUGCGUACCCUUUAAUCGAUGAUAACUUCUUUG
This 2926-nucleotide unclassified non-coding RNA is filed under the name Hevea brasiliensis (rubber tree). Lineage: Eukaryota; Viridiplantae; Streptophyta; Magnoliopsida; Malpighiales; Euphorbiaceae. The record is from RNAcentral.